This is a non-coding RNA of Arachis ipaensis, 1081 nucleotides long. NCBI's taxonomy places the organism in Eukaryota, Viridiplantae, Streptophyta, Magnoliopsida, Fabales, Fabaceae. The record is from RefSeq and is a predicted model, not a curated record.
CACUAUCUCACUCAAUGGGUAAAGACAAAAUAAUAUACUGAAAAUAGAAGAAAGAGAAAAAAAUCUGAAAGAAAAAGGUAAUACUUAAGUAGGGAUUAGCCUUUAAUUCUUCUAUCAACUUCAGAGAGGUGUUCGCCGUGAGCUCUAUUAUUGUUUUUUUUUUUUUUGAUCGAAGACAAACUAAUUCCUAGCCUUUCACAUAUUUCAGCUUAAGAUCACCAACAUAACUAGCUUCCAUAAGCCAUUUUGCUGUCUCAUGUAGUCGUUCAUUUUCUCCUUCCAUAGGUGCCAGAAGGUCGAAGGUCCAAAGACAGAGGGGAUCAACGAUAAGAGACUUUUCCUCCAAACUUGUUGCACUUUGUCACAGAGAAAGAGGCCCUUGUUGAUUGAUUCUAUUUCUCCACCACAUCUUUUGUAGGUUGGAUUGACACUCGGUAUGCGGCGGUGAACAAUGUCCAAGACGGGGAGCUUUUCAUGGAGGCAUUUCCAGACAAAUAUCUUGACUUUUGGUAGCAGGGACAACUUCUAGAGUGUGCACCAAGUUUUAUGAUGUUGUAGCAGACUUGGAUAGAGAUCAAUUGGGGGGGUGUUGAAACUGGAUGAGGUCCUUCACCUAUACGAUUUUGGGCUCUGAUGGUCAGUUUCCAACUCGUGGGGAGGAGGAGGUCCAAACGGGUAUAGUGAAGGCAACCAUGGAUCAUGAAAAACUCUGGCCACUAAACAAGUUUCAAUGCUCUAUACCAAGCCUUUCUCUAGCACAGUGCGUUCCACCAAGAUGCCCCACCAACCCCAUGACGAUAACGUUCCUACCUCAGCACUUAUUAUAUUACCGUACCUAAAAUACUUGCCUUUUAGUAUUUUAGACAGUAAAGUAUUUGGUUGACUUGUGACUUUCCAACACUGCAUAGCAAGUAACGCUAGGUUUUGAGCUCUAAGAACUUUAAAGCCCAAACCCCCUUCUCUUUUCGGUCGUGUCAUCGUCUCCCAACUUAUUCACACCAUCUUCUUCUGUGCCCCUUUUGACCCCACCAAAAUUGUUGAAGAACUCCAUGGAUCUCUUUUAAGAGAGUGCCUGUAAGUC